GAUCCUGGCUCAGGACGAACGCUGGCGGCGUGCUUAACACAUGCAAGUCGAACGAGAAUCUAAUGACGGAGUUUUCGGACAACUGAUUUAGAGGACAGUGGCGGACUGGUGAGUAACGCGUGAGGAACCUGCCUUUCAGAGGGGGACAACAGUUGGAAACGACUGCUAAUACCGCAUGACGCAUUUUGAUCGCAUGGUCGAAAUGCCAAAGAUUUAUCGCUGAAAGAUGGCCUCGCGU
RNAcentral lists this ribosomal RNA (238 nucleotides) under uncultured bacterium. Its description in RNAcentral is "partial 16S ribosomal RNA". It matches the Rfam family "Bacterial small subunit ribosomal RNA", at positions 15 to 236 of the family's 1533-position model. The record is from RNAcentral.